Molecule: ribosomal RNA, 465 nt
Filed under: uncultured bacterium
Lineage: Bacteria
Description: partial 16S ribosomal RNA
Rfam family: Bacterial small subunit ribosomal RNA
Source: RNAcentral
CCUACGUGAGGCAGCAGUGGGGAAUAUUGCGCAAUGGGCGAAAGCCUGACGCAGCGACGCCGCGUGAGGGAUGAAGGUCUUCGGAUCGUAAACCUCUGUCAGCAGGGAAGAACGGUCACUGUGCUAAUCAGCAGUGAAUUGACGGUACCUGCAAAGGACGCACCGGCUAACUCCGUGCCAGCAGCCGCGGUACUACGGAGGGUGCGGGCGUUAAUCGGAAUUACUGGGCGUAAACCGCUCGUAGGCGGUAUGUCAAGUCAAGGGUGAUAUCCCCGCGCUCAACGUGGGAACUGCCUUUGAAACUGGCAAACUGGAGUGUGUGAGAGGAUAGUGGACUUCCAGGUGUAGGAGUGAAAUCCGUAGAUAUCUGGAGGAACAUCAGUGGCGAAGGCGACUAUCUGGCACAUAACUGACGCUGAGGAGCGAAAGCGUGGGUAGCAAACAGGAUUAGAUACCCCAGUAGUC